ACGACGAAGACCUUACCUGGUCUUGACAUCCCGGAGACCCUUAGGAAACUAGGGGGUGCUUCCAUCUGGAAGAAUCUGGAGACAGGUGCUGCAUGGCUGUCGUCAGCUCGUGUCGUGAGAUGUUGGGUUAAGUCCCGCAACGAGCGCAACCCUUGCCUUUAGUUGCCAGCAGUUCGGCUGGGCACUCUAAAGGGACUGCCGGUGUUAAACCGGAGGAAGGUGGGGAUGACGUCAAGUCCUCAUGGCCUUUAUGACCAGGGCUACACACGUACUACAAUGGCCGAUACAAAGGGCAGCGACACUGCGAGGUGAAGCCAAUCCCGUAAAAUCGGUCUCAGUCCGGAUUGGAGUCUGCAACUCGACUCCAUGAAGUUGGAAUCGCUAGUAAUCGUGGAUCAGCAUGCCACGGUGAAUACGUUCCCGGGCCUU
Molecule: ribosomal RNA, 429 nt
Filed under: uncultured Desulfobulbus sp.
Lineage: Bacteria; Pseudomonadati; Thermodesulfobacteriota; Desulfobulbia; Desulfobulbales; Desulfobulbaceae
Description: bacterial SSU rRNA
Rfam family: Bacterial small subunit ribosomal RNA
Source: RNAcentral